GACGAUUUUGCUAUUUUUUAAUUUAUUAAAAGUGAUGUUAAAGUUUCAAAAGUUUCAAUCAUAAUUCUAAAUUUUGAAAGAAUAUUAUUAUGCUUAUUUCUAUGUAACAUCUUGUAAAAACCUUUGGUAAAUAUAUUCUGGGUGUGACGUAAUUUCUUUUUUUUUUUUUUCUUUUUGAGGAAAAGUAGGGAUUAAAUUUUAUUUCCAUUUAGUAGGCAACAUUUGAUUGAAAUGGUUUUAAAAAUGGUGUUAGGAAUCACUCUACACAAACAAAAAGCUAAUUUUGGGAAUGCUUUUAUUUUAAUGCCAUUAUGUGGUCAUUUUUAAAGCAAAGUUUAAUAUUUUAAUAUUUGGUCUUCUUUCCUUUCCUCUCCACAUCCAUCACUUUUCUUCUCUAUUCUUCUUCUGUGGUUGAAGCCAUUGCUCUCUCUACUUUCUUCCUCCACAAAUCUUCUCUUUAUGCCCUCUCUUUGUUUAGUCUUUACUUAACCCACAACCAAUUUUGAAAAAUGGAACUAUUUGAAAGUGACUAAAGCUUUACAGAAUUUGACCCCUAAAUCAUUGCCUUCAGUUUUAUGAAACACAAAUAAUACAAUGACAUGAUAUAUAUUUCUCUCAAAUAAAACAAUCCAUAAGUAUACAGAAUGGCUUUUCAUGGAUUAUUACUUUCAAAAAGAAGCAAAUAUACUAUGAAUUAUGGAAGAUAAUGAGCUAUAUAUAUAUAUAUAUCGAGCUAGAAUAAGCCAAACAAAAGAAGAAACAAGAAAAGAAAGCACAAGAUCGAGUAAAAAGGUAAGAACAUUUGACGACUUGUUGAUGAACCUCUUCUCAUUUAGCAACAUCGGGUGACAUAUCGACAAAAUUUCGUCGAGAUACUUGAUUGGUCAAAUUAAAUAUAUCAAGAAGCGUGGUGUUGUUACAUUUAGGACAUUUAAGAUCAAACUUAGAUGACAUGAUGUACAUGAGGCAUUGAGUGCACCCUAAUAACACCAUGUCCACUCUUGAGGAAUCUUCUGUUGUUGAACUAGAUAUUGAUAAGGAUAGAUCUUGUGAUAUCGAUUCUGAUUUUGAAUGGCUGAAGCUUCGACCCAUAGUUUAGAGGUGUUGAAUGAAAUGAAGCAGAGAGGAAAGAUGAAAUGAAAUGAAGAAGGAAGAGGAAGGAAAUCAAAUGCUAUAUAUUUAUGAUGUGGUAAGAUAUUAUAUAUUAACAAAAGUGGGAAGAGAAAAGUCGGGGAG
This 1236-nucleotide long non-coding RNA is filed under the name Cucumis sativus (cucumber). RNAcentral's name for it is "long non-coding RNA (CSAT_LNC000151)". Lineage: Eukaryota; Viridiplantae; Streptophyta; Magnoliopsida; Cucurbitales; Cucurbitaceae. The record is from RNAcentral.